This 319-nucleotide ribosomal RNA is filed under the name uncultured eukaryote. RNAcentral's name for it is "partial 18S ribosomal RNA". It matches the Rfam family "Eukaryotic small subunit ribosomal RNA", at positions 1470 to 1796 of the family's 1831-position model. The record is from RNAcentral.
CCCUUAGAUGUUCUGGGCAGCACGCGCGCUACAAUGGUCUUCGCAAACGGAUGCAUUCUCGAAGGAGAAUGCCAAUCUUGGAAUCUAUGCCUUGGUCGGGACAGUUGCUUGCAAUUUUUCGACUCGAACUAGGAAUUCCUUGUAAUCGUGAUUCAUCACAUCACGAUGAAUACGUCCCUGCCCUUUGUACACACCGCCCGUCGCUCCUACCGAUCGAAGAGUUAGGUGAAUUAUUUUGAUCGAUAAGAUUUGACUAUGGUCAACUCUCGUUGUGAAAUUCUGUGAAUCUGACUGUUUAGAGGAAGGAAAAGUCGUAACA